This 72-nucleotide transfer RNA is filed under the name Camelus bactrianus (Bactrian camel). It matches the Rfam family "tRNA". From Rfam's summary of the family: Transfer RNA (tRNA) molecules are approximately 80 nucleotides in length. Their secondary structure includes four short double-helical elements and three loops (D, anti-codon, and T loops). The record is from Rfam by way of RNAcentral. RNAcentral also lists the same sequence under 2 other names. Lineage: Eukaryota; Metazoa; Chordata; Mammalia; Artiodactyla; Camelidae.
GCAGGUAUAGCUCAGUAGCAGAGCACAUGCUUAGCAUGCAUGAGGUCCUGGGUUCAUUCUCCACUACCUCCA